Long non-coding RNA from Strongylocentrotus purpuratus (purple sea urchin), 489 nucleotides. RefSeq lists it as uncharacterized. Lineage: Eukaryota; Metazoa; Echinodermata; Echinoidea; Camarodonta; Strongylocentrotidae. The transcript is spliced from 2 exons. The record is from RefSeq and is a predicted model, not a curated record.
GAGACUGUUGUGUUUUAUAAUGACCCUACCUCGCCCUUCAUUCAGCGAUACUCAUUCCGUUCGUUUGCUUUCAAGGGAUACAACCCACAGGUAUACAUUCACUGUAAAGUCUUCAUUUGUGACGUGGAGGAUUCAGAAUGUAUCCCAUCAUGCAAUCGGUCUAGACGUCGAAGAAACGCAAGCCAGAAUACCAUCACGAGAGACAUCAGAAGCUAUCGACGUCAGUUUAACCAUCAUUAAUGAAAAUCUGUCCCCGUUCUCUUUAAGAACGUGAAAGGACGCAAACUUUCUUUCAUGUUUAUGUUCAAAAGAUAAAAGAACAAUUUUUAGGCCUCCCCCAUAAUAUGGUGCAAUUCUGCUACGAUAGCAGCUCCAUCUGCUACGAUAGCAGCACCCUCUGUCAAAUACGCGAAUAGGUGGAUGCAAAUCUUCACCCCAAUCGCACCCUUAUUUGUUAGUGUGUAGGGCCUUUAUUGGUUCGAACACUAG